Molecule: ribosomal RNA, 494 nt
Filed under: uncultured bacterium
Lineage: Bacteria
Description: partial 16S ribosomal RNA
Rfam family: Bacterial small subunit ribosomal RNA
Source: RNAcentral
GACGAACGCUGGCGGCGUGCUUAACACAUGCAAGUCGAACGGUGAAGCGCCUUCCUUUUUGGUGGGUGUGGAUGAGUGGCGAACGGGUGAGUAACACGUGAGUAACCUGCCCCCUUCUUCUGGAUAACCGCAUGAAAGUGUGGCUAAUACGGGAUAUUCUGGGUCUGUCGCAUGAUGGGUCUGGGAAAGAUAUUGUUUCGGUGGGGGAUGGGCUCGCGGCCUAUCAGCUUGUUGGUGGGGUGAUGGCCUACCGAGGCGGUGACGGGUAGCCGGCCUGAGAGGGUGGGCGGUCACACUGGGAAUGAGACACGGCCCAGACUCCGACGGGAGGCAGCAGGGGGGAAUAUUGCACAAUGGGCGCAAGGCUGAUGCAGCGACGCCGCGUGGGGGAUGGAGGCCUUCGGGUUGUGAACCUCUUUCGCCAGUGAAGCAGGCCUGCCUCGUUUGUGGGUGGGUUGACGGUAGCUGGAUAAGAAGCGCCGGCUAACUACGUG